AGAGUCUGCUGACUGUGUCCCCAUGGAGGGUCACUUGGGAGGAAAGAUGGCAGGGAGCAGAGAGCCAAGGAGACUCUCCCUCACUUGGAUUGGUUCCUAGGAGAGUUUGGUUCAGUGCGGGAGGCCCAGCUGAAGCAAGAGGAUGGCUCCUUUGUGAAAGUGGCUGUGAAGAUGCUGAAAGCUGACAUCAUUGCCUCAAGCGACAUUGAAGAGUUCCUCAGGGAAGCAGCUUGCAUGAAGGAGUUUGACCAUCCACACGUGGCCAAACUUGUUGGGGUAAGCCUCCGGAGCAGGGCUAAAGGCCGUCUCCCCAUCCCCAUGGUCAUCUUGCCCUUCAUGAAGCAUGGGGACCUGCACGCCUUCCUGCUCGCCUCCCGGAUUGGGGAGAACCCCUUUAACCUACCCCUCCAGACCCUGAUCCGGUUCAUGGUGGACAUUGCCUGCGGCAUGGAGUACCUGAGCUCUCGGAACUUCAUCCACCGAGACCUGGCCGCUCGGAAUUGCAUGCUGGCAGAGGACAUGACAGUGUGUGUGGCUGACUUCGGACUCUCCCGAAAGAUCUACAGUGGGGACUAC
RNAcentral lists this small RNA (576 nucleotides) under Pongo abelii (Sumatran orangutan). RNAcentral's name for it is "retained intron". The record is from RNAcentral. Lineage: Eukaryota; Metazoa; Chordata; Mammalia; Primates; Hominidae.